Molecule: ribosomal RNA, 273 nt
Filed under: uncultured bacterium
Lineage: Bacteria
Description: partial 16S ribosomal RNA
Rfam family: Bacterial small subunit ribosomal RNA
Source: RNAcentral
UACGUACUGGGCGAACGUUAUUCGGAAUCACUGGGCUUAAAGGGUGCGUAGGCGGCCUUCCAGGUCCGGUGUGAAAUCUCACGGCUCAACCGUGAAACUGCGCUGGAAACCGGAAGGCUUGAGUGUGCUAGGGGUGUGUGGAACUUCCAGUGGAGCGGUGAAAUGUGUUGAUAUUGGAAGGAACGCCGGUGGCGAAAGCGACACACUGGGGCAUAACUGACGCUGAGGCACGAAAGCUAGGGUAGCGAACGGGAUUAGAAACCCCCGUAGUCC